Long non-coding RNA from Columba livia (rock pigeon), 3508 nucleotides. RefSeq lists it as uncharacterized. The transcript has 2 exons. NCBI's taxonomy places the organism in Eukaryota, Metazoa, Chordata, Aves, Columbiformes, Columbidae. The record is from RefSeq and is a predicted model, not a curated record.
GAGAUCCUUUGCCACCAAGAGAUUACUGCCCACUUUGACAUGCACUUAAAUCAUCACUGAGUCCUCAACGGGUAUUUCAGUUUUUCCCUACUGGUAAUCUGCAUACACAUUUUGAGUUAUUAAUCACUGUGAAGUAACAACAAACCCCAGCCAGCCCCGGAGUUUUCUUAUCGCAACAUCCACCUGUGCCUCUUUAUCUGCUGAACUGCAUCUGUCUCCUCCCAAAGAUGCGAAUGCCUGGGGUACGGCUGCAUCAGGAGCCCAAACCUCGAACCGCGCAGCUUUCCUGUAAGACUGCUCCAUGCUAUGGCGUGCUUCAACCCCGCUCUGCGAGCUCUUCUCGCCAGCCUGCGUCCUCAUGGCAGGUUUAUCAGACCACUUUAAGGUCUGACAGCAAAUGCUGGGGCAUUUGGUCUGCCAGCUGGCGCGGCUCACAACGACCGGGCAGGGCAGCUGGCCUCCCCUGUGCCACCGGGGACCUACUGACUUGUUCCAGGCGGCAGCUUCUCGCCCAACAACAGCCCAAGUUUCGCCACAGCUCCUUUUUCCCGCGGCUCUCGGGAGCCAGAGCUGCCGACCGCCGCUAAGGCAGCCGCGGCCGCGGCUUGCCGGGCGCUGGCAGCGCGGGACGGGGUCUCGCCGCACAGCCGCCGGGAGCAGCGGGGAAAAGUCCCUCCCGCCGCCGCGGGUGAUGCCUCGCUGCCCUGGAAAGUUGGUGGCGCGUAAAGGGUUACGGGAGAGCCCCGGUCCGCCACCCCCGGCCACCCCCGCCGACCCGCGCCGCGCCAACCCACCCCACCCCAGCGCCCCUUACCUGGCAGAGCGCCGCGGUGGGCUUCCCCCCGCAUCCCCGGCGGGCCCCGCCGCGGCUCCUGGGGCGGGGGACGCCGAGCCGGGCCCGGGGGCGGCUGCCGGCGGCGCUCAGCGGGCCGCGCCGCGGGGGCUCAUCCCUGCCGGCGGCCGCGCGCUGCCCGCCCUGCCCUGCCUGCCCUGCCCGCGCGGGCAGCCCCGCGCGCGGCCGCCUCUCCACGCCCCUCCGCUCCGCUCCACUCCACUCCGCGCCGCGCCGGCGGGCAGGGGAGGGCGGGCAGGGGAGGGGGCUGCACCCGCUUCCCCUCCCUCCCUCCUCCGGACCGCCCGGCAGCGCGCACAGGCAGAGGCUCCGCACCGCACCGCCCCGCGCUGCCCCCGCCCCGCGCUGCCCGCACCACUUCGCGCCGCCCGCGCUGCCCGGACGCUGGGCAGGAUUUGCCGGGCAGGAAACUCUCCCUGGCCCUUUUUUUCUCUCCAAGGCGGCCCAGCCGGAGCGGGCAGAGACCCUCCCGUGGCGGGGUGAAGACCCGAUGGGGCUCCCCGCGGAAGACGAGUCGUCCCCACGCUGGGUGUUGGCGGGUGGCGCGGGGAUCCCCGGGGACCGGGUCAGGCCACCCCGCAGACGGGGGCUGAUGCGGGCGGCGGGUGCCUCCCACCCUCCUCACGCCCCGGUGCUGGGGCGCAACCAGAGCCCCCCUCACCCUGGCGACCCAGCCGGAUUUGGUAGCAGUGUGCAUUCGUUCGCUCAUUUGCCGGUGGCCUUUGCUCGUCAGAAAACACACUGUCAUGGGGACUAGUUCUUCAGCGCCAGGAAUCCUCCCCGCGCCGCCGUGGCCAGGGCUCACUGCCACGGGCAGGGACCAAAACCAAGCCCGGCGGGGCAGGAAUGCUAACAGAAGAGGCGGGAAGAGGACUGACUACCUGGGGCAGAGGAAAUGACACACGGGAGACCAUCAGGGAUGUUGAGGUGGCUGCUGUCUGAUAGCCACAUUCCUCCUGGUUUCUGCUUCUGUUCAACCCUUUGAAAUGGGUUGGACAUUUACUUUUGGCAACUUGUAAUGUUUCGUUUUUGUCAGGCGCUUGCCAACUAGGCUGAGUUUUUAUCACUUUAACUGCACUUCUACUGAUAUGACAGCUGCCAACAAGAGCCAGCUUAUGGUUCUGGAGACGCUACAACAGAUAUUAAUUUUUUAUAUCCCCAUUUUACUUUGUGCAUGUUUGGUGCUGCCCGGACAUUAUAAGGCAUCACAGCAGUUUUCUUACAUUGGUAUGAGCAGCACCCAGGUCCUGACAACCUCCUGAGCUCUGCAAGGAGCUGCCUCCCCAGCUCAGGGAUUUCCAAAUCUUCACCUCUGACUCCAAGAUUCACAAAGUGUAACUGCAGGGUCACAGUACCAGCAUGUCAGUCAGCAGCUCGGAACGACCCCACUUGGCAGUGAGUGGGCUACAAGGAACAGCGGAGCUCAGGUCUCUGUGCUGCAAUUGUGUCGAAAGAGGAAAAUAAAUCCCUGGGAAUGCUGGUAUUGCCUCUGUUCACAGAGGCCUGCCCGGCUGUGACAGAGAGUCGAGGGCUAUGACGUUGCCUUUAAACCUCGGGAAGCACAACAGCAUAGUCAUCACUUUUGAUGUUUAGCAUUUUGGACUUGCAUUUGCUGUUUUAGGAGUAUCCAGAUCUUGUGUGUCCAAAAAUACUGGUAUUUCUCAAGCCUUUUACAAUAUCCUGACAGCUCUAGCCCCCUUAAUCUAAUUUUAGGAAACUUUGUAGGGAUUUUAUAUUUAUAAACAGUUGGUGCUUAAAUAUUAUUUCCCUCACCAUAGCAACAGCUCCCCAUCAUCGCAUUCGGUAUACAGUGCUAGUGCACUGGUGUAUCCUGUUUUGAGUGAGAAAGCGCUGAAGCCACUCUUUCUCGUGCUUGUUUUCCUGCGCCAGACAAAGGACAAGGGCUGAGAUUCCUGACUGUCCUAAGUUCUUCCUGGAGCUGCUGGAAACACACUGGAGGUCCUGGGAUUUCUGUCACUGGUGUUCCUCAGGUGAUGUGCCUGCUCAAGUCAUUCCUUUCCACAGACACGAGCUGCUGAUUCAUCUGCUGUGGCACAACUGACCUUGUACCUACGGACUCGUAGCACCUGUACAAUAGCCCUGAGUGCCACCCCCAUGCAGCACACAGGCCUCCAGCAGCUCGGGGUGCCCGUGGUGUGUGCCUCAAACUUGCUUGGCACCUCCAGCGAGCGGUGGAGAGGAACUGGGAGUGGGCACCCAGUUGGUGUGCCCCACAACUUGGAGCAAUCACAGGGUGACUGGACACAUACUUCCUGGUGUUGAGGGUUGUCCCCCUGCUUGUGGGACUGGCACGGGUGCCUGGAGAACCUCCAAACAUCAGCAAUGUGCAUCGAGUGUUUACACAACACCUGGGCUUAAAAUGGUGAUGCUGAACCAGGGGCAGGCAAAGUGAUAUGGCUGUAGAGGCUAUCUCAUACAAAGGAAAGAAUUUUGAGAGAAUGAUGAAAAAAAUGAGGAAUAAAAGCAUGGCUAAAGGACAGACAGAUGCUUCUCAUAACUUCAUCUGAGCAUGAUCACAUUUUCGGAUGUUCCCUGGUAUUUUAAGUGUUAAUCUAGAGAGAUGCUGUUGGUUUGACAGUUUUCACAUUAUAGCUCUGUAUCUCUGACCAGUGAGUAUUAAACUAUUAAUUAGGC